Myzus persicae (green peach aphid) is the source of this 856-nucleotide long non-coding RNA. RefSeq lists it as uncharacterized. NCBI's taxonomy places the organism in Eukaryota, Metazoa, Arthropoda, Insecta, Hemiptera, Aphididae. The transcript has 2 exons. The record is from RefSeq and is a predicted model, not a curated record.
CGCAUAUUAUUAUGCAGUAUAUAACAGUGCUUCUAAGAACAAGACAUUAAAUCGCUAUAUUAGAGAAAUCGACUUUUCCACGAAAUCGUUUUCAUGGAAGAAAUACCUUUAUAAUAUAUUGGUAGUAGUGUAGUACAACAAGUAACAACCAUACAAAUCACAUUAUUUUCUUCCGAGUCAUCAUACAUUUCGUGAAUUAUAAUUUUCCGUGUGUUAAAAGGGUUAGGGAAUUGCGAAACGGUCGCCCUGAACAAUUUCAAGACGCGGACUUAUCUUGUUGCUGCGGCAAGCAGUUCGGUUUAUUACACACGCAACCCCCGUGUAUUCUACGUCGUACAGAGUGGUGUAAGCUGUAAGCAACACAAUAUUCCCCUCAUACGGAUUACCACAUAAAGUAUACCUACCUAACAUUAGGUAUAGAUACGUAAUAUUUCAUCUUGACGAGUGCCUACCAACCUAUGCGCAUAAUAUUAUAACGCGCGCUGUACAAAUAAUCGUUUAGUCACGACAGACGACGGCACACACAUCAAAGAGGCUCGGCAGUCGUGGUGUGCGCGUGAAGAGACCUAUCAGUCAUAGAGACGGAGCGACGCGGAGAGCGCUCACGCGACCGGUUAAUCAGAGUCCUAUUGAACGCGUCCCGCUGCUGCCGCCACAAUGGACAGUUUCUCCGGUGUCGGGCGAAUAUUAUAUUCACCCUAUUUCACGGUACGUCAGACUCAUUUCAGAAACAAUUAGGAACCCAUUCACCGUGCCCUGGAAAUCCGACCGCCGGACAAUGCGGCAAUUAUAUUUUGUAAUUGCGCUCGUAUACCCAACAAUCGAUUUAUAUAUUAUAUUAUAUACCUUUUUAUUA